Molecule: long non-coding RNA, 2537 nt
Organism: Brassica napus (rape)
Lineage: Eukaryota; Viridiplantae; Streptophyta; Magnoliopsida; Brassicales; Brassicaceae
Exons: 2
Source: RefSeq, a predicted model, not a curated record
GCUUGCUGUUAUAUGUUUUUGAUUUUUUCCUAUUAAAUGGUGAAAAACUAAAUGAAUAAAAAGAGAGGCUAAUCUGUUAUUAAGAAAAUUAUAACUAAUAACAUGAAGAACAACUUUUUCUACUCGAAUAAUUGUAGAUUUUAGUAACAUCAUAGCCGUUUUAAAAUCAAUUUUUUUUUAUUCAACGACGAUCUACAAUACAACUAUACAAGUACACAAUAGAGUGAAGUGUUUUUCCACUGCGAGGUGUUUCAAGUUUCAACAUCUUUACAACGGGCUAGUCUCUCUCCUCUUCGUGCGGAGAUGAAAGCCCUAUUCUGAGAAAUGGAAUGUAUGAGAAACUUACGUCAAUUUCAGGUUACGUUCGCAACGGAUUGUUCUCAAUUGGUGAAGAUGGUUUUGGAACCAGAAGAAUGACCAGUUUUUGCAAGUUAUUUGGAAGAUAUUAAGAUCUUGAAAGAAAGGACGCAUCUAUGUACCAAGGAUCAGAGGUCAUCUAUGUACCAAGGAUACAAAAUUCAAAGGCGGGUAGCCUAGCACGCAGUGUCUGGAAGCAAUCGUCUUUCGUCGUUCAUAUGGAUCAAGAUCUCCCGGUUUGGUUCACAGAAUCAGUAUGAAUAUAUAGUUGAUGACAAAAAAAAAAGCAAAUUCAAUUAAAAUAAUAAUUAUUCUAGUCCAAUGGCUAGUAUUUUAUUGGACUGUGGGAGGCAACGGCAUGCUAUUUUCAUUUUUUUGUGCAAAAAGGAUAUUGAGACUGCUGCAAAAAGGAAAAUUGAGGCCUAUAUAUAUUUGUUAUCAGAACGCAAGAAUCAAUUAUUUCCUUUCACUUUCUUCUUCUUCAUAUUCUUUCUCCAAUUACUCGGGGCAGAAAAUAUGUAGCCAGAUAUGGAAUACAUCGUUUAUAGAGAAGAGCUCGCACGGCUCAAUGUUGUACACAGCAGUGAAGACUAACUCCGUAGCGAUUAGAGAGUUGCUUGAAGGAGACGAUUCCCAUGGAAAUAGAGUCUACACGGGUACGCUUCCUCUCUUCUUGAACUUUUUAAAAUAGAAACAAAACGUUUUACUAACCAUAAACUGAUUUGGAAUCUAUCUAUAUAUAUAUAUAUAGACCCAAUUUGUUGAGAUCGCAGAGAGCAUUAACAUUGAAUCUCUCUUUGUAGUUAUGGUCAACUCUGAGGAAAAGACAAAGAAGAGCAAAUGUGACUCCUUUCUUGGCAUGUUCGUUGUAUCUUUGUCACUUCUUAAAGCUUUCAGUUGUACCGUAAGACAACAUCAUUUGGUCUAUUAAAUUUUCUACAUAUUUAGAUGGUUUUCACAAUCAAAUUUAUUUUGUUCUUUCUGGAUAAUUUGUCUCUUGACUCUUGAGUAAGGAAAUGAAUUAGAUAUAUUCUCCUUUGAUUUAUGUUUGUAUAGAUAACAAACUGAACUCCUGCAUAAAGUUACAAUAUCGGAGUUUCAUGACUGCCUUUUCAUAUGUUUUCUUUGUAUGCACAUGCUUUCAUGGCAGAGAUAGUGGAUAGUCAGGCUCUCAAGUCGCAUUCAUGAUGAUGACACCAUAGACGAGAGAAGACAUAAAGCUAGCUACAGUUUUGAAAACAAUAAAGAACUUGAAUGUUGAAAUUCCAUAUGUCUACUUCGCCGAAAAUACCUUCUCAUUACGGCGUUUCUUGCUUCAAGAAACCAACCCAGCAAUGCUAGAUGCCUGGAUGUUUUAAAAACAGUAUGUAUAUGUGUUUCUGCUUUGGCGUAUGUUUCUUAACUGAAAAUUAUUUGAUUACUGAAUUUGAUGCAAGUGUACGUAUGAUAUCUGAAUAGAAUCUGAUGUUUUUUCUUGGUGAUGUUUCCUUCCCGGGCCUCUGAGAAAUGGAUGGAAAAGAAAGAACUUGCAGAGCAGGAAGCAGUCAAGAGCCUGAAAGCUUUCCGCUGGAGAGACUAUUGGCAAUGCUCCAGUGCGUGCGUUGUGUCUUUAGGAGAUUCUUCAUUUGGUGAAGAGGAAGUAGGAGAAAAAGAAGAUAUGGGGAACGACAAAGAGAAUAACAUGUUGUAUGGUAUAUUCUGCUUCAAGUGUUGAGUCUUGCAAAAUUCAUAAUCAAAAGCCGAAGCCGCCCGUUAGAAGGUUCUUUCAGGCACCGUUCCAUGGUGUCUCAUGAUCCGUCUCUGAAGGUUACGAGAAGCCUGAGCUUUCCACUGUCCAAAUACUUCUACAGCAAAGUGUGGCAAAAGAUUUGACAGAACUAGAGGUAUAUGUCUUUGUUUCUAAACACAAAAAUAAUGUGGUAUAUAUUCAUCGAAAAGUUGCGAUGUGGAUGCUAUGCAUCUAAUCAAGAUAGGCUUGAUUUUGUUAUGGGAUUCUACGACAUUAGAAUUUAGUAAGAGUAUAAGAAUAGCUAAAUAACUUUCAUCGUUGGCUUAUACAUAUGGCUUUGUUUUUUGUUUGAUUAAAUGGGCUAUAUAGUGGAUCUUAGACACUGAUGAUAGUAUAUUAGUGUUUUCGCCACUAUUUUGGACAAAAAUUCAAGUAAGUAUUUUGGAAAAUC